AUGGGCAAGAAAAGCAUCAUCUCUUCACCAAGAGUCCCCCAGCUAGAAAUAGCCCGGCCAGUAGGGAGAGCAACUGGUCGAAAGGAAAACAAACUGGCACUUUUUAUACAUGAUCAUUGGGUAGGAGGCAUUUUGGUGGUGCAAACACUGAUCCUGGAGUCAAGAAGACCUGAGUUCAAGUACAGCCUCAGAAACACUGACUUGCUAGGUAAUGGAGGAAUUGAAGAAUUUGAGAGUUGCAAGAGACUUCCGCAGGUAUGUAGUCCAACCCAUAAAGAAAGGAUUCCCCAAUAUAAUCUAUUUUCAACAAGUGAUUGUCCAACUUCUAGUUGA
RNAcentral lists this long non-coding RNA (333 nucleotides) under Monodelphis domestica (gray short-tailed opossum). RNAcentral describes it as "lncRNA (ENSMODG00000036882.1)". Lineage: Eukaryota; Metazoa; Chordata; Mammalia; Didelphimorphia; Didelphidae. The record is from RNAcentral.